This 750-nucleotide ribosomal RNA is filed under the name uncultured bacterium. Its description in RNAcentral is "bacterial SSU rRNA". It matches the Rfam family "Bacterial small subunit ribosomal RNA", at positions 41 to 753 of the family's 1533-position model. The record is from RNAcentral.
GGGGAGGCCUAUACUGCAGUCGAGCGAGCUUGCCUAGAUGAUUUUAGUGCUUGCACUAAAUGAAACUAGAUACAAGCGAGCGGCGGACGGGUGAGUAACACGUGGGUAACCUGCCCAAGAGACUGGGAUAACACCUGGAAACAGAUGCUAAUACCGGAUAACAACACUAGACGCAUGUCUAGAGUUUGAAAGAUGGUUCUGCUAUCACUCUUGGAUGGACCUGCGGUGCAUUAGCUAGUUGGUAAGGUAACGGCUUACCAAGGCAAUGAUGCAUAGCCGAGUUGAGAGACUGAUCGGCCACAUUGGGACUGAGACACGGCCCAAACUCCUACGGGAGGCAGCAGUAGGGAAUCUUCCACAAUGGACGAAAGUCUGAUGGAGCAACGCCGCGUGAGUGAAGAAGGGUUUCGGCUCGUAAAGCUCUGUUGGUAGUGAAGAAAGAUAGAGGUAGUAACUGGCCUUUAUUUGACGGUAAUUACUUAGAAAGUCACGGCUAACUACGUGCCAGCAGCCGCGGUAAUACGUAGGUGGCAAGCGUUGUCCGGAUUUAUUGGGCGUAAAGCGAGUGCAGGCGGUCCAAUAAGUCUGAUGUGAAAGCCUUCGGCUCAACCGGAGAAUUGCAUCAGAAACUGUUGAACUUGAGUGCAGAAGAGGAGAGUGGAACUCCAUGUGUAGCGGUGGAAUGCGUAGAUAUAUGGAAGAACACCAGUGGCGAAGGCGGCUCUCUGGUCUGCAACUGACGCUGAGGCU